UGCCCUAGGUCAGCCCCACGCCUCCUCUUAAAUAGCAUGUGGAGCUCCUACUUUGUCGGAGCUCCUUGAUUAAAUUCCAAGAGGGGCGCCGACCCCUCUUCUUUGCCGCACCAAGCAAGGAAAAGGAGGAGGGGCAUGUGCCCCUCCUUCAUGGUUAACCUAAUCCUCCUCUAAGGAGGAUUAGAAAGGUCACUCUUGGUUAGGUCCUAAUCUAAUUAGGUUUGGACCAAGGGUGAACCAAUUUGGGUUUUAAUCUAGGUAAGUCCUAAUCCAAUUAGAACUUGAUGAGCCAUGACUCAAUUGAACCCUUCAAUCCUAAUCUAAUUAGGAGUCAUCUUGAUUCAUUAGAUUAAUAAUUAAUUG
This 363-nucleotide long non-coding RNA is filed under the name Phoenix dactylifera (date palm). Its description in RNAcentral is "long non-coding RNA (PDAC_LNC011390)". Lineage: Eukaryota; Viridiplantae; Streptophyta; Magnoliopsida; Arecales; Arecaceae. The record is from RNAcentral.